Molecule: long non-coding RNA, 8448 nt
Filed under: Aquilegia coerulea
Lineage: Eukaryota; Viridiplantae; Streptophyta; Magnoliopsida; Ranunculales; Ranunculaceae
Description: long non-coding RNA (ACOE_LNC001771)
Source: RNAcentral
UCAUCAUGUCUACUACUGGUGGUCAUCAUGAAGUACUGCCAAGGUAUAGUAUAGACAUUAGUUGUUUGGAUUACGACGUUGUUAAGCACGGCAAUGAUACAGUGAACAAUGUAUUUAUCGAAUCUGAAGCAAAUAUUGAUAUAUACAUGCAUAUUGCUAAACAAUGGAUGAAACCUUCAGAUACUAGUUAUGGAUCACCAAUUCUGCAUGGACGAGUAGAAGCUAAUGAACCUGUUCUGAUAUCCCAAAAGAAAGUCCGGUACGCAGACUUGCUGCUACCUGGCGUAUCACAGUAUCUUCUUCGUGAUGGUGAUCUUAAGCCUUAUACUGAGGUUGAACAAAUUUGUGCAGACCAAUUGUCUAGUCUUAAGAAAAAUAUAUCAAUGAUUUGUAAGGAAACUGCACAAGGUAUUGCAGAAGAAAAACCAAGAUGUAUUUUAAUUGUCAUAGUAUUAAAACUUCUAACAACAAUAUUCUGCGCUGAACAACACGAAUUUAAAGAUGAAACUGGGGAUUUGUAUAUGAACGAGCUAGAGUAUAUUAUUGAGGAACCUGAUGAUUUAUUCAUGGUGGACCAAGAGUUUAUUCAGCAACUCGCGGAUAUAUCUAUGGAAGAAGCCAAUAACAACGAUCUUAGGCAAAAACCUGCUGCACCUGGGCUGUUUUCUGUUGAAGUGUUGAUGACCGAGACCAAGGAAACUAGUUGAAGAUGAGUAAUAAUAGUAUAAUACUACUUAAUAAGUUGAGUAUGUAUAGAGUUGUUGUGGUAUUUUUCCUUUGUUUUUUUUUCUUUUAACAUUAAUUGCACAGAGAUGUUUAGUGUCGUGUCACUCAAUUUAAGUUGAUAUUAAUUUGAGUAUAGUCACUUAACUCAGUUAUUUAUCCAUCUUGGAGAUCGAAGACAAACACUCUCACAUGCAUCUAUUUUCAAACAGAUUAUCUUCAAGAUGCGACAAAUAAGUGAUUAAACUCAAAUAAAACUAAAAAGGUGACGAAACGUAAACUCAAAUAGUAUUUAUUAGUUUGAUUGUGUUUGUUACAUAUAAUGAGUUGUGUUAUGUUUUCUUGACAUUAUAUUGCAUUCUUGUUUGCGUAGUUUUGCAGUCAAUUUUUAUAUAUCACGUCUAAUACAGUUAUAACGUGCAGACCUUUCAAUCAAUCAUACUCGGUAUUUCCUAUGUUUGAUCUUGUUCUUGGGGCUGAACCAGCUGCUUGAUAUACUUGGAUCAAUUAUUGCGUGAUCUCUCUGGAUCACAAGUACAAAUCAGUAAUAAUGCUGUCAAGGUUGUUGUUACUGUUAGUGUAAAACUACGUAUAGAGGGUUAUGCCUGAAUAGCAAAUAAAUAUUGGAUCAAAAUCAUGUGGCCAUGUCAGAGUACAAAUUUCAAUCAAAAAUUUCUUAGAUGGAGUUUGGUUUUGUUUUGUUAUUAAUACAAUUAUUUCUUUAAUCAGCAGGGAUUAAACUCUCCAAUGUUGUACUAACUGCUUGACAGAUAUGCCUUCCCCUGUUAGGCGCAAUGCUCAUUACCUCUGGACUAUAUAGCACGACCAUGUCUUCCUCUCAGGCGCUCUUGGAUCUGCUGUUGAGCUAUCAUUUGGGUCAGCACCGUAGCACUACUAGCUCGAUUAGUAAGGCCACACAGGGAUCCCAAUACAAUACAAACCAAUAAUCCUACAGAAAAUACAAAGGCCAACAUAUAUGUUUGUUGUUGGGGUACUGCAUACAACAUACAUGUGGCACCAUCUCUACCGUCCAUCAUGGUGCCACAUGUCCAUUAUGAUGCCACGUGUCAUCAUCAAUGGACUCUCUCUUGAUGACACAAGUUACAAAGUUAAAGCCAAUUACUACAAAGAUAUUCUCUCAUCAUUACCUCAUUAAAUGCUAGGAAUGGAGUUACAUUAUAAGCCUAUAAAUAUGAAGGCAAAUCACUCAUUCCUCUCAUCUUCUCAUAGUCUAAUGCUCUCAACACUAUCUUAUGGUGAGGUCUCAUGAUCAAUGACCUCCCCAAUCUCUCAUGAUGAGACCUCACCUCUCAGGUCUCAUCUCUCUUGAGCUCUCCUCAUAAUCGAGCUCUCAUUUUGUAUCACCACCACUAGUAUAAUGAAGUUCUUUCUCUCUCUCCGUGGAUGUAGGCACAAUUGCCGAACCACGUAUACAAUGGUGUUCAUGUCUUUACUUUAUUUCUUAUCGUGUCAUUAUAUAUUUACAUUAUUCAUUAAUGUAUUGACCAACCUCACAAAUAUGGUCAAUACAUUUGGCGCCGACUAUAGGGACUUGAGAUUUUCUCAAGCGAAUUCCACCCACCAACCCCACCAUACACCAUUGUUUCAUAAGUGGUGACUUCAAGAAAUUCAUUGAAUUUGAAAUGAUAGAAUUGCAACUCACAGUUGGGGGCUUGGAGCAAAUUGUCUACACAAUUACUAUGCUCGGCAGAAGCAAGAUAAGUAUCACUUUAAUAUUUUUUGGUCAUUGAAAUGAGGCACCGAGCUACCAAAGAGCGACCUCAUCAUCUAUUGUUUAUUCUACACAGUUUUACCCAUAUAUUUAUCUGGUAAUAUAUUUUCAUGAACAUUUGAUCAAUCACAUGAUUACAAAUAUCAGUUUACAUUCUCAUACAUUAUAUUGAUAUGUUUAAUUAUCAAUUCAACAUGUGGCCAUGAUUCAACAACUUAUUUAAGAUACAUUUUUCAUGCCACAUUAAUUCUCAUGGGUAUUUACAGAAAAACCAUCGAAUGGAUUCAGUUACUGAUUCACCUUUUUUGUCUUCGUCAUAUGGUAUUUCAUGUUCAGGUCUCGCAGAGACCUCCUUACAUAUUCAGGUCUCUAAGCCAACGACCUCCCAGGUCUCGUCGCGACCUCACUUUAAAUUCAGGUCUCUAAUCAUGACUUCGCCAGGUCUCUAAUCGCGACCUCACCAGGUCCCUCAUCACGACCUCACUAGGUCUUUAAUCGCGACCUCUCUAACACUCAGGUCUCAUCGCGACCUCACUUCAUGUUCAGGUCUCUAACUGGGACCUCAUCAGGUCUAUCAACGACCUCUUCAAAUUGCAGGUCUUUCAACAACCCCAAAAAUAUUUAUGCCAUACAGGGGACUAUUCUCACUCUAUCUAAUUUCUUUAACUUAUUAUUGGCACAAUUAGAUAUUAAUGAUAUUUUUUGCGUAGAUCUAUCUAUGCCCAAGUCACAUGAACACGACCUCACUCCCCAUGAGCUAUUUUUGCACAAAUGUGCCACAUUGCAUUCACCGAACUCUUUACCAGUGAAAUGCUCGAUAUCAAAUAUGGCCACCCUUAUUGACUAGUGAGUCACUCAUAUGCGGGACGACCUCAACCACAAUUCUCUAGCCACACGCUUGGUCGAACACAUUCAUUCUCAAAGCAAUGCAGACCCACAAAUGCCACAUGCCCGAGAAUUGUCAAACAGGUCUCCAUGCUGCGACCAUUCACUAGAUCGGGCACCAAAAGGUUUCAAGUAACUCUCAAAACACUUGGUCAGCCAAUGCUCUUUCUCAAAUGAGCUACAUUUGCACUCCAAAGUGCCACAUCUAUCGAAGUGUCCAAACACAAGGCGUCAACGAUAGUACAUACAAAAGUCAUAAGGAAGACGUACAAUUCCAUGUAAGUCUUUUAUUGAAUUUUAUAAUGUUUCGCAUGCUAACAUUAUCAGGUCUAUGCAACUCGAUCACAUAUCAAAAACACGACCACCUUAAAACAUGACCGAGACCAACCACCCACGCAUGCAAGAGGACCCACUUCAGUACGACCUGCUUGCAGCCGUCCAUCCCGUCUACAUGCCUUAUGAACGAGCUACCAGGUCUCCCUGGAACUAACUAGCUCGUUGUACACAAUUCAUGAUCGAGUUGCCAUUACCACAAGGGACCUUCAUCGCAUCCUACAAAUCUCAAUGAUCAAGCUCAUCAAAAUUUGGGGCGGAUCGACUUCGUUAGGGAACCCCACAUUUUAUCUUGGGGGCUAGAUCGGUUCGUUUACUUUUUUUCAGUCCGAACCCUGUUCGACCUAAAAUGAGGGGGCUUAUGUAAGGGUAUUACAUACAACAUACAUGUGGCACCAUCUCUACCGUCCAUCAUGGUGCCACGUGUCAUCAUCAAUGGACUCUCUCUUGAUGACACAAGUUACAAAGUUAAAGCCAAUUACUACAAAGAUAUUCUUUCAUCAUUACCUCAUUAAAUGCUAGGAAUGGAGUUACGCAUUGUAAGCCUAUAAAUAUGAAGGCAAAUCACUCAUUUCUCUCAUCUUCUCAUAGUCUAAUGCUCUCAACACUAUCUCAUGGUGAGGUCUCAUGAUCAAUGACCUCCCCAAUCUCUCAUGAUGAGACCUCACCUCUCAGAUCUCAUCUCUCUUGAGCUCUCCUCAUAAUCGAGCUCCCAUUUUGUAUCACCACCACUACUAUAAUAAAGUUCUUUCUCUCUCUUUGUGGAUGUAGGCACAAUUGCCGAACCACGUAUACAAUGGUGUUCAUGUCUUUACUUUAUUUCUUAUCAUGUCAUUACAUAUUUUUCCAUUAUUUAUUGUUGUACUAGUUGUGGACCCGUGCUACGCACCGAGAUUGGAGAUUUUGCGAGAGAAAUUUUUUAUAAAUUUUAAAUUUAUAUAAUAUUAAAUUUAUCUGUACUAAUUUUUUUUAUUUAUAUAUACAUAUAAUAAAUUAUUAUGUUUGAUUAUAUUUGAUUAAUUUGUGUUUUGAGUGUAUUUAUUGUUUUUAUUUUAUUUUUAUUGAAAUGUUUGUGUUUAUACAUUAUUAGGAGAGUAGAGAAAGUGGGUAGAGAUUUUUGGGGUUUAGUGGAAAAUGGAAAAAAGUGUAGAGAAAUACAAAAUUUAGUUAUAUAACCAAUUAAUAUAAAUUUUCUUUUUCUUUUUUAUUUGUUUUAUGGGAGAAAAUUUGUGGGAGCUUGAUGAUCAUAUAGAAUGCCACAUAGGAAAGAGAGUGUGGGACCGCAUGGGUCUAGCUAUUAUAUAGAUAUAUAGAUAGAUUGACCAACCUCACAAAUAUGGUCAAUACAUUUGUAGUCCCUUUUGCUGCUGAUUUACCCUGUCAGUCAGACACUCAGACUUGAACAUGUCACUCCUAAUUGCUACCAAGGUCCAAGCACCAAUGCAAGGGUAGACAAAUCUGUUACUUCUAGUACUAAAAUUUCUUCAAAUUUUACACGCUUGUGCUUUUGAAUCAUGAAUACAUGUGUUGGCAAAAAGGGAAGAAAGCCUGUAACAAGUCUAGAAGCUUGUAGUGUGACAAAUUUCAUUGGAACUCAAAUUAACUUUUUACCCAUGAGCCGCCAACGGCCAAGGCAUUGGCAUUUACUUCAAUUGCAACAAAGGUGUUUGUUAGAAUGCAGUAAUAUGUAACUAGCGAACAUUCAAAUGGAAUUUCCUCUGUAAUAAGAAUGUCUGUGGACCGUCCAUUGUUCCUGAUUAAAACACCACAAGUCCACAAGUCUGUUGUAUUAUAUAUGAAUUUUAUUUUAUUGUACUGGAUCGUUAUGCUCUACUAUGAUUACUGGAUCGUUAUGCUCUACUAUGAUUACUGUGCAACUGCAAAGCUGGUGUUUCUGACACAUAAACCCAUGCAUUAUUACUCUCCCGCCACACUACUAUACACUUGCAAAAACCCUUCAUCUUUCUCUCUCACUAAUGAACUAAGCUUCGUUCAAAAAUGGUGAGUGUUGAUCAAGUAGUAGGGUUUUUUUUUUUUUUUAUAUAAUAAACCAGAAUUUUUUGUGUAUUUGAGAAUAAAUAUUUUGAGGUGUUGAAUUGAAUUUGAUGUGUAGGGUGAAAUAUAUGGUAAUGAAGCAAGUAGCAAGAACUGGGUUUUAGUAGAUACAAGUCAAAAUUGGUGGCUACCACCUUCUUCAUCAUCAUCAUGUUAUUCACCAAUUUAUAAUCAAGAAAUGGCAUUUUUAGGUUAUGAUGACGAAGAGGUCAAAUGUUGUUACUUUUUCGCAAACCAAACUCUUAUUUCUUAGUUGUUUGUUAUAGAUGAUUAAAAUUUCUCUGCUCCGUAUUAAAAAUUUUACUAUGAAUAUUGGAAAACCAAAAUUUGUUUUUUGGAAAAUUUAUUUUCAAACUUAUUAGUAAUCUCAUUGAAAUAUAUAAACUUAUUUGGAAUGUAUUCAUGUAGGAUGUAUUCAUAGGUACUGAAACAAAUACCAAGAACCGGAAUUUCGAAGAUACAACUCAAAAUCUGGGGCUACCUUCCUCAUCUACAAGUUCACUAAUUGUUGUUCAAGAAUUUAACUCUGCAGUUUACUAUGAGGUGAAGUCCUUCAUCACAAAUCCAACCUUAAUUAGUUUUUUUUUCUCUUUUGGCUUUUCAACAAUAAAUUGGACAACCUAGAAAGCAUGAAUAAAAUUGAUAUCUUUUUUAAAUAUUUUGGAAUUCAAAUGUUGGUCAAAGUCGAAAAACUGAGGUUUUGUAUUCAAAUUCAACUUUUUAGGCUAUGAGUAUAUGACAAACAUUUGGAUUUUGGAGUACCAAAUUAAGUGUACUCAUCAAAAUAUCAUACUCAUUCAUCAGUUUAGAGAGGUUAUCAUUGCAAUGUCAUGGAAAUAUCAACAAGCAUUUAAUUUCAAAGCAACUAAGGUUACUAAAAAAAUUCGUCGCAGUUGUAAAGUCCUCGACUUUUCUGAAUCAUAUUAACGUAGUGGAUUGUUUUUUUCGGUUUUCAAAAUAAUCAAAAAACAUUAAUUUUUUUAUGUGAGAUGCUCAUUUAUUUGAAUUCGGCGUGUUUGAAUUGGAGGCAGGAUGAAAUAUGGGGCAAUGAACCAAGCACCUCCAACUGGAUUUUGUUAUAUACCGAGAACCUGUCAGUACUACAUUCUCCAUAUUCAAGUUCCACAAAUCGUGCUCAAGAAUUUGAUUCCUCAGCCUGCGCCAAGGUGAAUUUUUUCAUCAUUAUCAACCAUGUUCUCCAUUUAUCUUUUUGGCUAACAGUUAGUAAUAUGUUAUGCAAGCCUUGCAAUCUAGUUACAUACGGGAUAUUUUGUAUAUAAGACGUUUGCAGUUGCUAACAAUGUGCUAAGUUUAAAGAAUAAGCCUUAAAACUGCAGAGUAUUCUUAUAUGUUUCUGAAUGAUGUUAGCUUCUUAGCAAAUAAUUGUUUGGCUAACAGUAGAAUGUGGUUGGAUGUAUGAAGAUCUACUGUAUUUCAAUGUUAUGGUGCACUUAUAACAUAAUGAUAUUUAUAUAUGCCAAUUCAAUGAUUUAUUUGUGCAUGGAACUGGAUGCUUGAUAUGGUGUAGGGUGGAAUUUCGGGUGUUGAAGCAAGUGGAAAGCAAAAUUUGUCUCCAAAUUCAUGUUCAAGUUCACCGAAUCGUGCUCAAGAGUGUGGUGCUUUUGUCCAUAAUGAGGUGGGAUUACUUCUUUUUUCCUUUUGCUUCUUUUCCACCAAUUGAUUUCAACCAAAAAUUAUUUGUGGGGUUAGUUUGAGACCCAUUUGAUGGUGUGAUCCAUUGUGUUCAGAGAUCCUUUUCUUUAACUGUUUAUCAGUUUUCAUUAAUGAUAUGGUUUGCUUCAAAAGUUUUCACUUGAGAAGGAUUUUGGAUAUUACAGUUCCUCAACAUGUUCUGUUCUACUUGUAUUCUAUGAGGCUUGACCCCUUGUCCUUUGGAUCUUUGCGACUUUAGUGUAGGACCUUGGAGACUAAUCUCGUAUUUUUUAUCUCGUAUGGUCAUGUAUUUAUCUUUUUAUAUGUCCUGGUUAAGUGUCUAAAAGCAUAUUGAACCUUAGAAUUGAUUUAAAAGAUUCUUGUGCAUGGAUAUUUCAGUUAAUUUCUUUUCUCUUGUUAUAGGCUACCACAUCAACAGGUCUUCGCUCUGAUUUGAUUCAUUACUUUGUUCGAAUGGGAUUCUCCAAGAGCAUGGUGGUGAAAGCAAUUGAUGAGAAUGGUAAAAUCAAGUUCAUGGACUCAGUUUGGAAUAUUUUUCCUUUAUAAUUUACUUGAUCCUUCUCUUUUUGUGCUCAUGUUACAUGUAGGAGAAAGCAAUCUGGAAGUUAUACUGGAAACUCUUCUCACAGUCUCAGUGAGUCCAUAUAUCUUACCCCAAGUUCAGCAAUCACAUAUUUGAAAUUGUGGAGAUCUUACAGUUGAAAGUUGAAACGAUGCAUUCCCCUUACAGCAUUUUAUAAUCUAGUGCAUGUUGUUGACUUGUCGGUUGUAGUAGGUUACUUGCCCUGUUUAUACCAAAUAUACCAUGCCUUCACUCUUUGUUUGAGCUGCCUUUUUUUUUUGGUUAAGCACUUAUUCACCCCUAUAUGGCUGUCAACACCCAACAAAUCCUGUUCUUUUAGAAAGCUCGUAUAUCGGACAUUAACCCAAUUCUAUUCAUAGUUUAAACCAUUCUUUGUCAGCAGCUGCUUCUGUGGCCAUAACAAUAUAUAACUUCACAUUCAGCCUCAAAAUUAGUAACUGUGCCUAAACCUUUAAACAUUGCA